RNAcentral lists this ribosomal RNA (508 nucleotides) under uncultured bacterium. RNAcentral's name for it is "partial 16S ribosomal RNA". It matches the Rfam family "Bacterial small subunit ribosomal RNA", at positions 30 to 523 of the family's 1533-position model. The record is from RNAcentral.
AUUGUACGCUGGCGGCAGGCCUAACACAUGCAAGUCGAGCGGCAGCGGGAAAGUAGCUUGCUACUUUUGCCGGCGAGCGGCGGACGGGUGAGUAAUGCCUGGGAAAUUGCCCAGUCGAGGGGGAUAACAGUUGGAAACGACUGCUAAUACCGCAUACGCCCUAUGGGGGAAAGCAGGGGACCUUCGGGCCUUGCGCGAUUGGAUAUGCCCAGGUGGGAUUAGCUAGUUGGUGAGGUAAUGGCUCACCAAGGCGACGAUCCCUAGCUGGUCUGAGAGGAUGAUCAGCCACACUGGAACUGAGACACGGUCCAGACUCCUACGGGAGGCAGCAGUGGGGAAUAUUGCACAAUGGGGGAAACCCUGAUGCAGCCAUGCCGCGUGUGUGAAGAAGGCCUUCGGGUUGUAAAGCACUUUCAGCGAGGAGGAAAGGUUGAUGCCUAAUACGUAUCAACUGUGACGUUACUCGCAGAAGAAGCACCGGCUAACUUCGUGCCAGCAGCCGCCGUAA